CCUACGGGUGGCUGCAGUGGGGAAUAUUGGACAAUGGGCGCAAGCCUGAUCCAGCAAUGCCGCGUGUGUGAAGAAGGCCCUCGGGUUGUAAAGCACUUUUAUCAGGAACGAAAUACCACGGGUUAAUACCCUAUGGGGCUGACGGUACCUGAGGAAUAAGCACCGGCUAACUUCGUGCCAGCAGCCGCGGUAAUACGAAGGGUGCAAGCGUUAAUCGGAAGGUGCGGGCGUGAUUCGUUAGUAGUCGGUUGAAAUCCCCGGGCUCAACCUGGGAAUGGCAAUGGAUACUGGCGAGCUAGAGUGUGUCAGAGGAUGGUGGAAUUCCCGGUGUAGCGGUGAAAUGCGUAGAGAUCGGGAGGAACAUCAGUGGCGAAGGCGGCCAUCUGGGACAACACUGACGCUGAAGCACGAAAGCGUGGGGAGCAAACAGGAUUAGAUACCCGAGUAGUC
RNAcentral lists this ribosomal RNA (450 nucleotides) under uncultured bacterium. RNAcentral's name for it is "partial 16S ribosomal RNA". It matches the Rfam family "Bacterial small subunit ribosomal RNA", at positions 338 to 795 of the family's 1533-position model. The record is from RNAcentral.